AGAAUUUGCCUAUUGCAGACUCAAAGGACAAGACUGACAUUGCAAUUCCAUGCGAUACCAGCAAUGAUAUUGCUGACUAUGCAACAGUUGAGGAAAAACCUGAAGAACCAGUAGUUGAAGAAAAACAUGAAGAACCUGCAAUUGAAAAGAAAUUUGAAGAACCAGCAGUUAUGGAGAAACCUGAAGAACCAGCGGCAAAGGUAAAACCUGAAGAACCAGCAGGGAAAGAAAAACCUGAAGAGCCAACGGCUGGGGAAAAACCUGAAGAACCAGCAGCAAAUGAGGAACCUGAAAAAUCAGCGAUGAAAGAGAAACCUGAAGAACCAAUUGUUGAGGAGAAACUUGAAGAACCAACUGUUGAAGAGAAACCUGAAAAACCACUGAUUGAAGAAACACCUGAAGAACCAACAUGGGAAGAAACACCUAAAGAACUAGCAUUUGAAGAGAAACCAGAAGAACCAGCAGUUGAAGAGGAGAAACCUGAAAAGGUAACUCUUAUGGAAGAGGUGAGUAUCAAGCAUUAUCACAUAGUUUAUCCAUCUAUGUGCAACAAUUCACAUAUGCUUAUCUAUUGAAAGACUAAAUGAAACUUUAAAUUCUUCUUGCAGAAUAUGCCAGCUGUAGAUUUCAACGACAAGACUGACCGUGAAAUUCAAUGCAAUAACAAUGAUGUUGCUGAAUAUGUAGCAGUUGAGGAAAACCUUGAACCAGCAGUUGAAGAAAAACAUGAAGAACCAACAGUUGAGGAGAAACCUGAAGAACUAGCAGUUGAAGAGAAACCCGAAAAACCAACAAUUGAGGAGAAACCUGAAGAACUAGCAGUUGAAGAGAAACCCGAAAAACCAACAAUUGAGGAGAAACAUGAAGAACCAAUAGUUGAGAAGAAACCUGAAGAAUCAAUAAUUGAAAAGGAGAAAUCUGAAAGGGUAACUUUCCUAGAAAAGGUGAGGAUCAAGCAUUGUCAAAAGGUUUAUCCAUCUUAUUACUAUUAGUUGUGUAUGUGCAACAAUUCACAUCUGCUUACCUAUUGAAAGACCAAGUGAAACUUCAAAAUUCUUCUUGCAGAGUAUGCUAGUUGUAGACUCGAACGACAAGACUGACAGUGAACUUCCAUGCAAUACCAACAACGAUGCUGCCCACUUUCCAGAAGUUGAGGGAAACCCCGAAGAACCAGCAAUUGAAGGAAAAUCUAAAGAACUUGUUGAUGAAGAGACACCUGAUGUACCAGUGGUUGAGAAACCUGAAAAACAAAUGGUUGAGGAGAAACUUGAAGAACCAAUGAUUGAGGAGAAAUCUGACGAACUAGUCGAGGAGAAAUCUCAACAACCAGCGGCUGAAAAGAAACCUGAAGAACCAGCAGCUAAAGAAUCACCUAAAGAGGUAGCAGGGGAGGAAACAUCUGAAGAACUAGCACUUGAAGAGAAACUUAAAGAACCAACAGUUGAAGAGAUACCUAAAGAACUAGUUCUUGAAGAUAAACCUGGAAACCCAGAAAAUGAAGAGGAUAAACUUGAAACAGUAACUCUCCAGGAAAAGGUAAGAAACAAGCAGUGUCACAGAGUUUAUCCAUCCUAUUAGCUCUAUAUAUGCAACGAAUUCACAUCUGUUUAUCCACUGAAAGACCAAGUGAAACUUUAAAUUUUCUUGCAGAAUUUACCAAUUGCAGACUCAAAGGACAAGACUGACAAUGCAACUCCCUACAACAACAAUGAUAUUGCUGACUAUGUAGCAGUUAAGGAAAAAACUGAAGAACCAGUAGUUGAGGAAAAACAUGAAGAACCGGCAAUUGAAGAGAAAUCUGAAGAAUCAGCAUUAAUGAAAAAAACUGAAGAACCAGCGGUUGAGGUAAAACCUGAAGAACCGUCAGUGGAAAAGAAGCCUGAAGAACCAGCGGUUAGGAAAAAACCUGAAGAACCAGCAGUUAAUGAGGAACCUGAAAAAUCAGCAACGGAAGAGAAACCUGAAGAACCAAUUGUUGAGGAGAAACUUGAAGAACCAACUCUUGAAGAGAAACCUGGAAAAUCAGUAAUUGAAGAAACACCUGAAGAACCAACACUGGAAGUAACACCUAAAGAACAAGCGUUUAAAGAGAAACCAGAAGAACCAGCAGUUGAAGAGGAAAAAUCUGACAAGGUAACUCUUUUGGAAAAGGUGAGCAUCAAACAUUGUCACAAAUUUUAGCCAUCCUACUAGUUCUGUAUGUGCAAUAAUUCGUAUCAACUUAUCUAUUGAAAGACUAAGUGAAACUUUAAUUCUUCUUGCAGAAUAUACCAGUUGUAGAUUUCAAUGAUAAGACUGACAGUGUAAUUCCAUGCAAUACCAACGACGAUGUUGCUGAAUACGUAGCAGUUGAGGAAAACCUUGAAGAACCAACAGUUGAGGAGAAACCUGAAGAAUUAGCGGUUGAAGAGAAACCUGAAAAACCAGCAAUUGAGGAGAAAAGUGAAGAACCAAUAAUUGAGAAGAAACCUAAAGAACCAGCAGUUGAGGAGAAACCUGAAGAACAAACCGUUGAAGAGAAACUUGAAGAACCAACAAUUGAAGAUGAGAAACUUGAAAGGGUAACUCUCCUAGAAAAGGUGAGGAUCUAGCAUUGUCACAAAGUUUGUCCAUCCUAAUAGUUUUAUAUGUGCAAGCUUUUCAGAUCUGCUUAUCUAUUGAAAGACUAAGUGAAACUUUAAAUUCUUCUUACAGAAUAUGCCAGUUGUAGACUCGAACGACAAGACUGACUGUGAAAUUCCAUGCAACACCAACAAUGAUGUUGCUUACUAUCCAGCAGUUGAGGAAAAUCUUGAAAAAACAACAAUUGAGGAAACAACUGAUGAACCAGUGGUUGAAGAGAAACCUGAUGCACAAGCGAUUAAGGAGAAACCUGAAGUACCAACGAUUGAGCAGAAACUUGAAGAGUUAGCAGGAGAGGAAACCCAUGAAGAACUAGCAGUUGAAGAGAAGCUAGAAGAACCAAUUACUGAAGAGACACCUGCAGAACUAGUUAUUGAAGAGAAACAUGAAAACCCAACAAUUGAAGAGGAGAAACCUGAAACAGAAGCUCUCCUAAAGAAGGUUAGGAUUAAACACUGUUUCAAAAUUUAUCCAUCCUAUUAGCUUUAUAUGUGCAAGGAACUCACAUAUGUUAAUCUACUGAAAGACUAAGUCAAACUUUCAAGUUUUCUUGCAGAAUAUGCCAAUUGUAGACUCAAAGGACAAGAUUGACGUUGAAAGUCCAGGCAAUAACAACAAUGAUGGUGCUGACUAUCCAGCAGUUGAAGAUAAACCUGAAGAACUAACAGUUGAAGAAAAACAUGAAGAACAAGCAAUUGAAGAGAAACCUGAAGAACCAGUGGCCACAGAGAAACCUGAAGAACCAGCGAUUAAGGAAAAAGCUGAUGAACCAGCAGUGCAAGAGAAACCUGAAGAACCAGCUGUGGAAAAGAAACCUGAAGAACCAGCAGUCGAGGAGAAACUUGACGAACCACCAGUUGAAGAGAAAUCAGAAGAACCAGUAGUUGAACAAACACCUGCAGGACCAGCAUGGGAAGAAACAUCUAAAGAACUAGCAUUUGAAGAGAAACCUGAAGAACCAGCAGUUGAAAAAACACCUGAAGAACUAGCAGUUGGAAAGAACCCUGAAAAAACAGCAGUCGGAGAGAAACAUGAAAAAGUAACUCUCUUGGAAAAGGUGAGGAUCAAGCACAAUCACAAAUUUUAUCCAUCCUAUUAGUUAUGUAUGCGCAACAAUUCACAUUUGCCUGUUGGAAGAUUAAGUUAAACUUUAAAUUCUUCUUGCAGAAUAUACCAAUUAUAGAGUUAAACGAGAAGAAUAACAGUGCAACUCCAUGCAAUACCAACAAUGAUGUUGCUGACUAUCCAGCAGUUGAGGAAAAACCUGAAGAACCAGCGAUUGAGAAAAAACCUGAAGAACCAAUGGCUAAGGAGAAACUUGAAGAACCAAUUGUUGAGGAUAAACCUGAAAAAUCAGUGAUAGAGGAGAAAUCUGAAAAACUAGCAACUGAAGAAACACUUGGAGAGCAAGCAGGGGAGGAAACACCUGAAGCACUAGCAGUUGAAGAGAAACCUGACAAAUCAACAGUUGAAGAGACAGUUGAAGAACUAGCUAUUGAACAGAAACCUAAAAAAACAGCAGUUGAAAAAGAGAAACCUGAAGCCGUAACUCUCCUGGAAAAGGUGAUCAAGCACUGUCACAGAGAUUCCUUGCUCUAUACGUGCAAGGAAUUUACAUCUACUUAUCUACUGAAAGAUUUAGUGAAACUUUAAAUUCUUCUUGCAGAAUAUGCCAGUUGUAGAUUCAAAGGACAAGAUUAACAGUGAAAUUCCAUGCAAUGCCAACAAUGAUGUUUUUGACUAUCCAGCAGUUGAGGCAAAACCUGAAGAACUAGCAAUUGAAAAAAAAUAUGAAGAACCAGUAGUUAUAUUGGAGAAACCUGCAGAACUAGCAGUUGAGGAGACACCUGAAAAAUCAGUAGUUGAAGAGAAGCCUGAAAAACCAGCAGCACGGGAAGAAGCACUUGAAGAACCAGCAUGGGAAGAAACACCUGAAGAACCAACAGUUGAAGAGAAACUUGAUAAACCAGCAACUGAAAAAGAGAAACCUGAAAAGGUAACUUUCCGCGAAAAGGUGAGGAUCAAGCACUAUCACAAAGUUCGCCCAUCCUAAUAGUCUUGUAUGUGCAAGGAAUUCACAUAUGCUUUUUUAUUGAAAGACUAAGUGAAACCUUCAAUUCUUCUUGCAGAAUAUGCCUGUUGUAGACUCAAAUGGUAAGACUGGCAGUAAAAUUACAUGCACUACCAAAAAAGAUGUUGCUGAUAAUCCAGCAGUUGAGGAUGAAGAACCAGCAGUUGAGGAUAAACCUGAUGAACCAACAGUUGAAGAAAAACCUGAAGAACCAGCAAUUGAAGGAAAACUUGAGAAACUGGCAGUUGAAGAUAAACUUGAGGAACCAGCUUUUGAACAGAACCCUGAGGAAACAGCAGUUGAACAGAACCCCGAGGAACCGCCAGUUGAAGAAAAACCUGAGGUACCAGUAGUUGACGAAAAAGCUGAAGAACUAGUGGUUGAAGAGAAACUUGAAGAACCAUCAGUUAAAGAAAAGCCGGAAGAACAAAGCAGGGAAGAAACCGAAGCUCCCAUAAAAGAGGCAAAGCAUAACCAGAAUGCAAAUGAAGCAAGCAGCAGUCUGCCAACAGCUAUGCUAAGCCAUCCGCCUGCUCAAGGGACAACAAUGACCAACCCAAUAUUGGGAGAACCAAUUAGUAUUGACGAACCUAAAAAUGUGCAACAGCUAGAUUCUCAAGAAAUAUCAGAAAUCGAUGAUGCAAUGCAGAGAGAUGAAGAUAACAUAAAGCAGAAGGAUGAGGCUUCUUUCACUGAAGAACAGAAGUUUACACCACAGAGUGAGUAAUACUAGUUCACAGACAUGCUUUCCCUAUCCAAUUGAUUUUAUUUGCAAUGGAAAAUGGUGACACACUUUAGAUAACAGAUCAAAUCGAUUUAACCAUAGUCUUACUCGCAAAAAGUAGAGAAAAAUACAAAUGGAACCAAUCUCUAAAAGGAAGCUGAAAUGGAGAGAAGCACCAGAGACAAGAUGCCUUUCUGUUUUGGAGAAACCUCGAAAAAGUAGAAUGCACAUCCACAGUAUUUAGCAAUAAUGAUCAUCUAUCAUUACAUAUAUGAACAUAAUUUAUUUAUUACUACAUUGAUAUAAUAAAGAAAUCCUAUGAUAUGCUUUUGCUAAGAUAUUAGGGCUAGCAGCAUUCAUUAAGCCAUAAAUUCCAAUAUGGAUGUAACAAGCACUUUUUUGGGGGUUCAAAGAGAUGCACUUUCUAGUCACUUCAAUAAUGACUAGAUGUGGUAUUAACUACUACCGACAUAUUGCAGGUUAUGACAAUCAAAAUACUUCGACAGGGGAUAGUUUCUUAAAUAAGAACAUGUUCGCUGAAGGUGAAGCUGUGCACAUUAAUAGUCAAGAGGAUCUAAUCAGGCAAGAAACUUCAGGAAGCACAAAAUCUGAGAUAAAUCCAAAUUCAAGUAAAGGAACAGAAAAUGAGGCAAGUGAUAUUGCUAAUAGAGAAGGAUCAAGCAGACUUGGUUAAGUAAAUAAUUUAGUUGCUCUUCGUCCUUAUUGUUCUAAACUUGAUGAGCUACUUGGUUAUGCAGGUAAAUGACCAUCCAGAAGGACCAGAAGUACCAAAACAAACUGAUGAAACGGAAAAAUGUAUAGUACAGAAGCAAGAAGAUUCCGUUCGCAACCAGGACGAACUGGCUGUUGAAGAAAAAAUGAGAUCUUGUGAAGAGGUUGAAACAAAGGUAUUAGAUGAUCUGGCUUCUAUUAAUACUCUGAUCUUUCCUGUCCAUAGACUAAUGAUAGCCAAAACUAUAACUUCAAAACAUAUAAACAAACUUAAAGAUAUAAAUGCUGGUGAUGGAAUGGAACAAAUAAAAACAUUAUGGAAAAAGAAGAAAAGACUUUGGACAAAAUUCUGACGUCCACCAAAGAAGAAAUUGGUACCAAGAACUCUGAAGAAGGCCAAGUGGUUUCAGAGAUUCCCAGUCAAGAGUUUAAGUGACCAUAGAAGCCUGUUCUUAAUUCAUAUAUGUAACUCUCAGAUAUAAAGAUGCCUUCUCUCUUUCUACUAAAAUCACAAAAUUCCCUCUUUUUCAAAUCUGCAGAACUUUCAACAAGCUAAUUUAAUCAGAGAUGAAGCUUUAUUGAAAGAUGAGCAUGGAGUCGAGAACUUCGUGGUAGUUUCUUCAGAAGAAAUUAGUUGUGAAGGCUCUAUUGAAAAGUUAAACGAAAUGAGAACCUGAGAAUGAAUCAGCCAAUUAGCAUCAAGGCACUCAUAUGACAACCAUUCACUGAGGGUCUUAAGUUUAUUGCAUGCAUAUGAAUUAUCUUGCCACCUUGUCUUUCUGGGAGAAAUAUUAAAAUUCAAGUCUGAAAGUAUUUGAAGUAUAUAGUUCGUAGUAACUACUAACUACUAUAAAUUUAAAGUUCUCCAUAUAAAACAAAAUAAGUCUUCACUUCCUUUCCCAGAGUUUUUGUUUAUUCUGUAGUUAUUGCACAAAAUGGGAAACAAUAGAUGAUAAGAUGAUAUAUACAAGAAAUAGAAAAUUAAUUCACUGCUGAUAGAGUAUAUUCUAUUGCACAAAUAUCAACCAUCUUUGCUCUUUUAUUUGUUUAUUUAUUUAUUUUGUUCGAGGCUAUUACAAGUGAGACAUCCUAGUAUCAUUGGGAUUCAUAUGCGCUUCUUUUGAAAACUAAGUCGAAACAAAAAUUAGCCAAAUGCUGACAAAUGGGUAUGACUUAUUUUUCUGAAAAAGAACGGACCAUUGACAUUGCAAAUCGAGUAUUCCUUUGAGUCUUUGAAACAAUAAGUUGCAAGGGAAGGUUUAAGCAAAUUUCAAAUAUUGCAGGUAGAUGCCUUCAUGCAUUUAUUCUGAUCAUUUUAUUGGUUUUCUUCGGCAGACUCUUUUAACAUUGACAAAAAGAAAGAUUCUUCUUGGAGAAUUAUCAGUUAAUAAAGGAAGAGGCAGUGGAAACUCUUUCUCGGGGAAUUCCAAAAUAUGACCUUAAGAGAAUUCACAUGACGUUAAGCUAGAAACCAAGGACUUAAACCACUAGGCCACGGCAACUGUAUUUCAGUUAUAAACAGGAAUCUUGCUAAAAUAAGAAGUCCCAAAAAUCAUCAUGUAGACAUCUGUUAACUUGAUAUAAUGCUCGGCAGUUGACAAUUACUAAAACCAUCUGGAGAUUAAGAUAUGAACACCUUCUUCUCUCGUUAGAAUGAUUCUUAUAUGCAUAACUCCUUGUCCUUUUCUCACCAGUGUAUGUAACAUACUAAACAAUGGUAGCACUCAAAAUAUUCUGAGCAAUCACGAUCAUUGUUGCAGAACAGUUGAGCAUGUGUAAUAACCCUAUGCGAGAUGCAACCAAAAGAAUUCCACCAUCCUAUUAGUUCCGUAUGUGUAAGGAAUUCACAUCUACUUAUCUAUUGAAAGACUAAGUGAAACUUUAAAUUCUUCUUGUAGAAUAUGCCGGUUGUAGACUCGAACGACAAGACUGACAGUGAAAUUUCAUGCAAUACCGACAAUGAUGUUGCUGACCAUCCGGCAGUUGCAGAAAAACCCGAUGAUUCAGCAGUUGAAGAGAAACCCGAGGAAUGGAUAGUUGAAGAGAAACUGGAAGAAACAGCCGUUAAGGAGAAAGCCGAAGAACCAAAAGUUGAGGAGAAACUCGAAGAACCAGCAAUUGAGGAGAAACCUGACAAACCAGCGGUUGAAGGGACACCUGAAGAACCUGCAGUGAAAGAAACACCUGAACAACCAACGUUUGAAGAGAAACCUCAAGAACCAGCAAUUCAGGAGAAACCUGAAGAACCAACAGUUGAAAAGAAACCUGAAGAACCAACAAUUGAUGAAGAACUUGAAGAACCAACAGUUGCGGAGAAACCCGAAGAACCAGCAGUUAAAGAAAAACAUGUAGAACCAGCAAUUGAAGAAAAACGUGAGGAACCACAAGUUGAAGAAAAACAUGAGGAACCAGCAGUUGAAGAAAAAACUGAAGAACCAGCAGUUGAAGAAAAACCUAAAGAACCAAAAGUUGAGGAGAAACCUAAAGAACCAGCGGCUGAGGAGAAACCCGAAGAACCAGCAGUGAAAGAAACACCUGAAGAACCAGCGGUUAAAGAGACACCUGAGGAACUAGCAGUUGAAGAGAAACCUGAAGAACCAGCAAUUGAAGAGAAACCUGAAGAACCAGUAGCUGACAAAAAACUUGAGCAACCAACAAUUGAGGAGAAACCUGAAGAAUCAAUAGUUGAAAAGACUGAAGAACCAGCAGUUGAUGAAAAAGGUGAAGAACCGUCAGUUGAAGAAAUACCUGAGGAGUCGGCAGUUGAAAAUUUUGAAGAAGCAGCAGUAGAAGAGAAACCUGAAGAACCAGCAGUUAAGGAAAAAACUGAAGAACCACCCAUUGAAGAAAAACCCGAGGACCAAGCAGUUGAAGAGAAACCUAAAGAACUAACAGUUGAAGAGAAACUUGAAGAACCAAUAAUUGAAGAGAAACCUAAAGAACCACCAGUUGGAGAAGAACCCAAAGAACAAAACAGGGAAGAUACUGAAGCUGCCACAGAAAGAAUUGAUGAAUCUGGAACACAUAUAGUAGAGAAAGAAGAAGCUUUGAUAGGAAAACAGACAGAAUUGUUUGUCGAAGAAACAACGAAACUUUGCAAAGAAGUUGAAACUGAGGUAUUAAGUGGCCUUCUAUCAAUGCUUUGAUAUUCUUUCAUGUGCCUAACUAGUCAUAACAAAACCUAUCACUACAAACAGAUAAAAGAACUUAAAGAUGUCAAUGCUGGUGAUGGGACAAAUAAGAAUGUCCUAGGAAAAGAAGAAACAACUCUAGAUGAGCUUCUAACAUCAGCCAAAGAAGAGAUGGCAGCAAAUAACUUUGAAGAAGGCAAAGUGGUUUCAGAAACCCCCAAUCAAGAGGUUAAGUGACCACAUAAGCCUGUUUCCAAUUCAUAUAUCUAACCCCAAGAUAAAACAGAAAUGCUUGCUUUCUCUUUCUUCUAAAUCACUGGAUUGCUCUUUUUAAUUUCUGCAGAACACUCGGCAAGCCAAUCUGACAACAGAAGUGGUUAAAGACACGCGUGGAGCAGAGAACUUCAUUGCACUUUCUUCAGAAGAAAAGAGGGUGGAGGACUCUACUGAAAAGGUAAAUGAACAAAACCUUACAAUAGAUUAGCUGAUUAGCAUCUAGUGAGAAUCUAUGACCACAUAAGCCUGUUUCAAAUUCAUAUAUCUAACCCAACGAAGGUAAAAUAGAAAUGCUUGCUUUCUCUCUUUUUUCUAAAAUCACUGGAUUGCUCUUUUUUAAUUGUGAAGAACUUUCAGCAAGACAAUCUAACCACAGAAGAGGUUAAAGACACAAGUGGAGCAGAGAACUUAAUUGCACUUUCUUCAGAAGAAAAGAGGGUGGAGGACUCUACAGAAAAGGUAAACAUGCAAGAUCUUACAAGGAAUUAGCCGAUAAGCAUCUACUGAGAAUCUACGAGUUUGUUGCAUGCUUAUGAGCCUAGAAGUUCAAUUUUCCUGCUGCAUGAUAUUUUCAGAACAACAACAACGACAACAACUAAGCCACAACUCCAAGUUAGUUAAGGUCACAAAUCCCUAGAGGAAUAUAUAUUAUUCUCAGUUUCUGUUCCCUUCUGCAAAAAGAGGAUUGAGGAGAUGUUGCUGUGAGAGCACUAUAUACGGAAAACUGCAUGAAACAUUUCGUGUAAGCAGGCAGAGUAUGACAUGAAUGACGAUUUGCUACCUGCUACAAGAAAUCGCAAUUCUAAAUUUAAAAAGUUGGAACUAAAUUAUAACAGUAAAAUAAGUUAUAGAAAAACUAGCAAAACAGAACUUGAUGUUUCCCCUUCCGAUACAACCACUAAAGAAGCAUGAAUAGAACUUACGAAUUAUCUCGAGUUGAAUCAAAGCUAGAAGCAGCAUAUGCACUGCAAUCAUGUUUUGUCGCGUCAUGCAAUCCUGCUAGCAGUCUCCAGAAAUCUCUCUAUUUCCUCACCCUUUCAGUUAUUUCUGGAUACCAACCAAAUUAGAAAUUACUCAUUCUAC
Molecule: long non-coding RNA, 10639 nt
Filed under: Nicotiana tabacum (common tobacco)
Lineage: Eukaryota; Viridiplantae; Streptophyta; Magnoliopsida; Solanales; Solanaceae
Description: long non-coding RNA (NTAB_LNC000540)
Source: RNAcentral